Micropterus salmoides (largemouth bass) is the source of this 339-nucleotide long non-coding RNA. RefSeq lists it as uncharacterized. The record is from RefSeq and is a predicted model, not a curated record. The transcript has 2 exons. NCBI's taxonomy places the organism in Eukaryota, Metazoa, Chordata, Actinopteri, Centrarchiformes, Centrarchidae.
CAAGGCUUGGAUUUUAAGAAGGCUUGGAUUUUUCACAGCAGUCUCUCUUCUUUCUUGCUGUUGAGACCACACUGCAGAACAGACCAGGAGCUGCAAACCAGUGAGAAGGUAGCCGUCAUCCAGCUAGCCCAACGGAUAGUGGACCGGAUGGCAGACCGUUAGCUGGUGUUGCUAACAGUGGAGUCGGAGAGUGCCCUCUGGUGAACAAGCAAUGCAACGACAUAACACGAUGAACAUAAACGUGAAGGAUUUGGCUCUCCCUUUUUUAAUUGCCAUUUAUCAGAUGUUAAAAAUACUGAUAGAAAUUUAUGUGCAAUAAACUCAUAUCGGCUGAUAAAA